Lemur catta (Ring-tailed lemur) is the source of this 103-nucleotide small nucleolar RNA. RefSeq annotates it as small nucleolar RNA U13. The record is from RefSeq and is a predicted model, not a curated record. Lineage: Eukaryota; Metazoa; Chordata; Mammalia; Primates; Lemuridae. The transcript has a single exon.
AUCCUUUUGUAGUUCAUAAGUGUGAUGAUUGGGUUUUCACACUCACGUGUGAGACGUGCCUCCCUCAAACCUUGUUAAGAUAUCGGCAUAUGACUGUCUGACA